GACGAACGCUGGCGGCGUGCUUAACACAUGCAAGUCGAGCGGUAAGGCCCUUUCGGGGGUACACGAGCGGCGAACGGGUGAGUAACACGUGGGUGACCUGCCCUCAGCUCUGGGAUAAGCCCGGGAAGCUGGGUCUAAUACUGGAUAUGACUCCACGGUGCAUGCCGUGGGGUGGAAAGCCUUGUGCGGCUGAGGAUGGGCCCGNGGCCUAUCAGCUUGUUGGUGGGGUGANGGCCUACCAAGGCGACGACGGGUAGCCGGCCUGAGAGGGCGACCGGCCACACUGGGACUGAGACACGGCCCAGACUCCUACGGGAGGCAGCAGUGGGGAAUCUUGCGCAAUGGGCGAAAGCCUGACGCAGCGACGCCGCGUGA
RNAcentral lists this ribosomal RNA (375 nucleotides) under uncultured bacterium. RNAcentral describes it as "bacterial SSU rRNA". It matches the Rfam family "Bacterial small subunit ribosomal RNA", at positions 28 to 404 of the family's 1533-position model. The record is from RNAcentral.